GGGUCAGUAGGUUGGUCGUGCCACCGGUACGUACUGGUCUCACUGAUUCCUCCUUCCUGAAGAACCGUAAUGCCAUUAAUUUGGUGUUGCGGGGAAACAGGACUGUUACUUUGAAAAAAUUAGAGUGUUUAAAGCAAGCUAACGCUUGAAUACAUUAGCAUGGAAUCAUGAAAUAGGACGAUCGAUCCUAUUUUGUUGGUUUCUAGGAUUGACGUA
Molecule: ribosomal RNA, 216 nt
Filed under: Glomeromycotina sp.
Lineage: Eukaryota; Fungi; Glomeromycota
Description: partial small subunit ribosomal RNA
Rfam family: Eukaryotic small subunit ribosomal RNA (bases 40-216)
Source: RNAcentral